RNAcentral lists this ribosomal RNA (536 nucleotides) under uncultured bacterium. RNAcentral describes it as "bacterial SSU rRNA". It matches the Rfam family "Bacterial small subunit ribosomal RNA", at positions 800 to 1333 of the family's 1533-position model. The record is from RNAcentral.
CCGUAANCGAUGGGUACUAGGUGUAGGAGGUAUCGACCCCUUCUGUGCCGGAGUUAACGCAAUAAGUACCCCGCCUGGGGAGUACGACCGCAAGGUUGAAACUCAAAGGAAUUGACGGGGGCCCGCACAAGCGGUGGAGUAUGUGGUUUAAUUCGACGCAACGCGAAGAACCUUACCAGGUCUUGACANUGAUGGACAGAACCAGAGAUGGUUCCUCUUCUUCGGAAGCCAGAAAACAGGUGGUGCACGGUUGUCGUCAGCUCGUGUCGUGAGAUGUUGGGUUAAGUCCCGCAACGAGCGCAACCCCUAUCUUAUGUUGCCAGCACGUGAUGGUGGGAACUCAUGAGAGACUGCCGCAGACAAUGCGGAGGAAGGCGGGGAUGACGUCAAAUCAUCAUGCCCCUUAUGACCUGGGCUACACACGUACUACAAUGGGAGUUAAUAGACGGAAGCGAGAUCGCGAGAUGGAGCAAACCCGAGAAACACUCUCUCAGUUCGGAUCGUAGGCUGCAACUCGCCUACGUGAAGUCGGAANC